UACAGAGGCCUCGAGCGUCAGGCGGAAUCACUGGGCUUAAAGCGUGUGUAGGCGGAUUGGUAAGUACCUUGUGAAAUCCCACAGCUUAACUGUGGAACUGCUCGGUAUACUGCUGAUCUUGAGCCACUCAGGGGCUACCGGAACAAAUGGUGGAGCGGUGAAAUGCGUAGAUAUCAUUUGGAACGCCAAUGGUGAAAACAGGUAGCUGGGGGUGUGCUGACGCUGAGACACGAAAGCCAGGGGAGCAAACGGG
This 253-nucleotide ribosomal RNA is filed under the name uncultured bacterium. RNAcentral describes it as "partial 16S ribosomal RNA". It matches the Rfam family "Bacterial small subunit ribosomal RNA", at positions 524 to 776 of the family's 1533-position model. The record is from RNAcentral.